GACAUGCAAGUUCAUAUGCUGACCCCUCUUCCUACGUAAGUAUUUACAUUCUUGAUUCAGUGUGUGUCUACUGCGUUCCUAUUUUAUAUACCAGGAAAUGUGUGUUCAGUGAAACAAAACGGUUUAUCUUUGAACAAAACAGUUUAUCUGUGCCAUAUGUUUGUACAUAAUGGAAAAAAAUGAAAUUUAAAUGCAUACAAAAUUGCAACUGUGGUAGGUGUUAUGAAGAGGGCAUAUGUUGUUUUGAAGGAACCUGAUCAUUCUGAAGGGUCAGCAAAGAAGUCAAGUUUCAGCAGAGAGUCAAAGUAUGAUAAGCUAAGUUCUAGAAACAGAGAAGAGGAAAUAACUUACCAUUAGAGGAGAAAAGUCUAUGCAAAUGUCUUGUGUUGGAAGAAAACUUCCUGUGAAGGAAAGACUGAGCAGAAGUCAAUAUCUGGUGCACAUAGAGAGGGACACAUCAGGGUGCAGAACAACCCUGCCACAGACAGUCAGGGUCAUACCAUGAAGGACUUUUAGGCCGUAUUAAGGAUUUAGGUCUUUAUUCCAAGAGCAUUUAGAAGGCUCCUGAUGAAUGUAUUUGAAGCCAAGAUCAGAUUUGUAUUUUGAGGGACUAUCUCUGAGGAUAUGCUUACUCACACAAAAGCAUUUUCACAUAGAUAAGUGCACCUACAUAGGUUCAUACGGACACUUGUGUGCAUUUUCUUUGAAACUAUGUACUUAAUAGAAGUAUUCACUGGAAGACUCUGCUUCUCAUAACACACGCCUUGUGUAUUCCUCUGCAUGGUCUAUAUAAGCCCAGUUAGCACUGGGAGGCUGGGAAUGCCCUCACUGCCUCACUGGGCACCAUUGGGCCUAAGCUAGUCCUUGGGGCAAGAACUAGGGAAGUGAUGGAUUUGAAGGGAGCUCUCUGCCUUUGGAGCUGCCUCUGUGUGUUGUUGCUUGGCCUCAUGAGUGUGCCUCCAGCCCUGUUCCUCCUCCCCUUGGCUCAGAGCAUCAACGACAAGGUGGGGUUUCUUCCAGAACACCAUCAUUGACUAUUCUUGGCCUGGGCAAGGAAGGGAGGAUGGGCAGGUCAAGUUGCAUAAAGAUUGCCUUGUGCCCUCCCAGAAUUGUAAGCAAAGCCUCUGGCGCUCUGAGCCUGCAGUGCUCUUUGCACAGAAUCCUCAUGAGAACUAAACACAAGGAACAAUGGGGGAGACCAGAGCUCUUCAGGACCUGAUGAGGACUAUGGUACGACUAGACGUAGCGCAUCCCAACUGCUCCCUGCAAUGUGCCUCUGGAUGGGGGAAAUAGCGAAAGCCAGUAGGAAAGCCUAUUUAAGGCAAGAUGUCCCUCUGUGUUCCCUGCUGCCUUGGUGCAGUAAGCCCGUGUACACACAUAUUUACACAUUAGCAAAUUUUCCUCCGGUGGGUGUAGCAUCUCACGGCAGAGGAAGUAGCAAGUCAUUUAUCAGCCCCAACACCCUGCAUUACUUACCCUUCAAUUAACUAGAACUAUACUUGCUUACACUUGGCUACUGUUUGCCAGCAAAGCCAACAAGGGCCUUGGACAGAGCCAGUGUCAGAGCUCCAGAGAAAUUAAUAGAAACAUUCAUGCAGAAUUUAAGGCUCACCUUGAGCCUUAUAUCCUGAGGCCAUAAAGAUGUUCCCAAGGGAUUUUUUGGAUAUUCUAAAGACUCCUACCCACUGACAUUUUCUGCUUUCCAAUAUGAGCUUAGAAAAUGUUUUCUUCCACAAUUAAGAGAAAUGCCAUAGUGUUUUCAUUUCACUGCAGGCUGUGCUGGGUACAUGUUUCUCACCCCAAACCUCACCCCCACCAUAUGCUUUUAUGCAAUCCUGACAGCAAGCUACCAGAUCCAUCAGGCUGCUCAAGACUGUGGUGCUUAGGGAGACACUGUACUAACAAACGCUUGGGCUGAUCCAGCAUUUGGCACUUUACAAAGGGCUUUUAUAUUUGCCACCAUGUCUAAUCCUCACAAUGACCUUAAAGUCAGCAUGGUUCUUCCCAUUUCACAGACUGGGGUUAGAAGAUCUGCCUAAAGACACAGAGCUAAUAUGGGGCAUUAGUUUGAAUUUGGGUCUCCAUGCUCAUACUCAAAGCAGCACGAGUGUCACACUCUGCUACCCUCCUAAGACCUGCGGCUCUGCUUUCUGCUACAUUUUAUCUCAUAAAGUCAGAACUAAUACUCCCAGCACUGAAGCCACAGGUGCCAAAAGGCAGAUAAGCAAUUGUCUGCUCCAGAGAAUGUCCCCAGGAUGCUUUUGAUGUUGACAAGCUACAAGCUUGGGUGAACGCAUGCCUGGGGGUGGGAAACUGAGAGCUCUAUCCACUGUGGCUUAGAGCAAAAGGUCCACCCUUCGAGUUCCUUCUCCAGUCAUUAGAUGCACCCUUUCCAAGGCAAGACUCCGGGCUUCUGCCUCCUGCUUCUCAUACCUGUCCUGCUGACAGCUCAGUCUCUCCUGAGGCUGUCCUUGUUCACUUUGCCCAAUUCCUCUUGGAUCAGGAUGUUUUUUUGUGGGAAGACCCAAUGUGAUUUGCCCCAACCCCACACCCAUUGGAGACUGCCCAGACAGUUCUAAGGGCCAAGUUCCACACCUCAGUAAAAAUUGCAGGCUCCGGGAAGUAAUUCAACUUCUUGAAAAC
Molecule: long non-coding RNA, 2643 nt
Filed under: Marmota monax (woodchuck)
Lineage: Eukaryota; Metazoa; Chordata; Mammalia; Rodentia; Sciuridae
Source: RNAcentral